RNAcentral lists this long non-coding RNA (691 nucleotides) under Fukomys damarensis (Damara mole-rat). RNAcentral's name for it is "lncRNA (ENSFDAG00000024087.1)". The record is from RNAcentral. Lineage: Eukaryota; Metazoa; Chordata; Mammalia; Rodentia; Bathyergidae.
ACACUAUCCCUGAAACAGAGGAUUGAUUGGCAGGUAAGAAAAAACACAGGUGGGACAGAUUAUACAUUAACAAAGAGGAAAAUUAAAUCUCAGAAUUGAAUUUUCAUCUGGCUUCAGGUGGGUGACGUGAGCUACAGCCCUGUGUGGGGAGGAGUGGAGUCCCUGAGGGACCAGGCCAGCUGUGGGACCACCACUCAACACUGCCCUUGCCACUCCUAGCUCAGGCUCAGCAGACAUGAGCCCCCAGCAGGCAUGAGCCCCAUCCAGGUCAUUCGCUGCGUGCUCAGGUGGCAGAAGAUGCCAGCCAGAUCCCGAUGGCAGCUGCUUUCUAUCCUCAGUAUUCACGCUGCAGCGCACCCACAAUGAAGUCUUGGAGGCCUCAGAGGGUCAUUCGUUUGUCAUGUAACCUGCAGCACAAGCAAAGCAGUAGCAUCCCGCAAGAGGAGCCCUUGCUGUUUUCUACCCGACUCCACAGGUAACACAAAGCAUUGGUUCUGAGGGGCAGAGGAUAUUUUAGCCAAUAGAUAUUGUUAACUAGCCCUGAACUUGUCUGGGACACAGCCACACUCCAGAGUCACACUGACUUUUGCUACAAAGAUACGAUCGUAGUACCAGAGCCACAAAAUCCAGAUGCAGUUGAAACAGGCAGAGGUUAGCUGCUGAAAUGCGGAGGUGGAUGCUUAGGGCAUAG